Molecule: ribosomal RNA, 670 nt
Filed under: Lactiplantibacillus plantarum
Lineage: Bacteria; Bacillati; Bacillota; Bacilli; Lactobacillales; Lactobacillaceae
Description: bacterial SSU rRNA
Rfam family: Bacterial small subunit ribosomal RNA
Source: RNAcentral
ACGCUGGCGGCGUGCCUAAUACAUGCAAGUCGAACGAACUCUGGUAUUGAUUGGUGCUUGCAUCAUGAUUUACAUUUGAGUGAGUGGCGAACUGGUGAGUAACACGUGGGAAACCUGCCCAGAAGCGGGGGAUAACACCUGGAAACAGAUGCUAAUACCGCAUAACAACUUGGACCGCAUGGUCCGAGUUUGAAAGAUGGCUUCGGCUAUCACUUUUGGAUGGUCCCGCGGCGUAUUAGCUAGAUGGUGAGGUAACGGCUCACCAUGGCAAUGAUACGUAGCCGACCUGAGAGGGUAAUCGGCCACAUUGGGACUGAGACACGGCCCAAACUCCUACGGGAGGCAGCAGUAGGGAAUCUUCCACAAUGGACGAAAGUCUGAUGGAGCAACGCCGCGUGAGUGAAGAAGGGUUUCGGCUCGUAAAACUCUGUUGUUAAAGAAGAACAUAUCUGAGAGUAACUGUUCAGGUAUUGACGGUAUUUAACCAGAAAGCCACGGCUAACUACGUGCCAGCAGCCGCGGUAAUACGUAGGUGGCAAGCGUUGUCCGGAUUUAUUGGGCGUAAAGCGAGCGCAGGCGGUUUUUUAAGUCUGAUGUGAAAGCCUUCGGCUCAACCGAAGAAGUGCAUCGGAAACUGGGAAACUUGAGUGCAGAAGAGGACAGUGGAACU